GUGACGUAGCCGCGGUGAUUCUUAGCGCUGCGGCGAUGAAUGAAAAAACAGCUUUGGAUCAAAUUUUGCUGCUCUGAGAAUUCGCUUACUUACAGUGGCAUUGUAAUGGUUUGUUUUGAAAGUGUUUGCAUUUAGUUUUAUUGAUUUGUGUAGAUACACUGCCCUUUAGUGGUAACAGUGAAUAUGACGUAACUCAUUUAAACAUGGCCUAAUAGUUUACAGGUGUACUGAGCUGUUUUUUUUUUUUGUUUUUUUUUGUGGGAAUAUGUGUUUGAAUGAGCAUUUUAUAGCAUUUUAACUAGUGGAUUUUUGUAUUGGCGGAUCCUCAUUUAUGAGUUAUUUUCUGUACCGUUUGAAGCUAAGCUCAUAUAUUUUGAAAUGGGUUUAUUGCUCUUCCAUCCACCAUAGUUGGAAAAAUCACUGGGAAAUUUUCUUUUAAUGCUCUUUUCAAAGUGCAAUUUUAUCCAGCCUAUGUUUUACAUUUACUAAACUUGAAUCCGCAACGCAUCAAAUGUUCCCAAUCCGACGAUUGGAGUAUUCAAACUAAUUCACAGGUGUCAAACUGAUUCCAGAAAGGGCCAAGUGGGUGCUGGAUUGUGUUCCAACCGAUACCGCGCAGAGAGUUGAACCAAUGAACUUUCUGCUGAAACAAGCAGCACCUGACAAUGAUUCAAGGGGAACUGAAGAGCUUUUCAGAUUUCGCUCUUAAGCGUUUUACUCAGUUGAAUUGUAUUAAAUGCUUCAUUCGCUCUCUCAAAAAGUCACAUAAAAAAAAAAAAAAUAAUAAUUGACCGCGUAGUUUUUGAGUUAUGGCCAUAGCAACACCAUAGCAACGAGGGACGCGCCGUCCUGCCGACCCCUACCUCGUGACGUAACUUCCAGGAAGCCUCGCCACCACUCUGAACACGGAAAUAUAGCACCACGCUAUCCUCGCCAUAUAUUGCAAACAUUUUCUGGGUUUUACUCGCGGGAUUCGUCAUGCCAUCUCGAUGUGUAGCGAUAUGAAUUACUCACAGGAAGACUCGAGACUCUAGGAGUGGUCCAAAAAAAAACUUCUCCUGUAAAGCCACGACAGCUUUGAAAACCUACAACAAUGCAACCUUGGUUUUCCAAAGACGAAGCCAAACAUAAAAAAUUAAGUGGCGGAAACCCUCAACACGAUGAAAAAAGCGUUGCAAGUCAGUUGCCACCCAG
Molecule: long non-coding RNA, 1194 nt
Organism: Corythoichthys intestinalis (scribbled pipefish)
Lineage: Eukaryota; Metazoa; Chordata; Actinopteri; Syngnathiformes; Syngnathidae
Exons: 3
Source: RefSeq, a predicted model, not a curated record